RNAcentral lists this ribosomal RNA (440 nucleotides) under uncultured bacterium. RNAcentral describes it as "partial 16S ribosomal RNA". It matches the Rfam family "Bacterial small subunit ribosomal RNA", at positions 338 to 795 of the family's 1533-position model. The record is from RNAcentral.
CCUACGGGAGGCAGCAGUGGGGGAUAUUGCACAAUGGGGGGAACCCUGAUGCAGCGACGCCGCGUGGGUGAAGAAGCGCCUCGGCGCGUAAAGCCCUGUCAGCAGGGAAGAAAAUGACGGUACCUGAAGAAGAAGCCCCGGCUAACUACGUGCCAGCAGCCGCGGGAAUACGUAGGGGGCAAGCGUUAUCCGGAUGUACUGGGUGUAAAGGGGGCGCAGACGGCGAUGCAAGCCAGGAGUGAAAGCCCGGGGCCCAACCCCGGGACUGCUCUUGGAACUGCGUGGCUGGAGUGCAGGAGGGGCAGGCGGAAUUCCUGGUGUAGCGGUGAAAUGCGUAGAUAUCAGGAGGAACACCGGUGGCGAAGGCGGCCUGCUGGACUGCAACUGACGUUGAGGCCCGAAAGCGUGGGGAGCAAACAGGAUUAGAUACCCCUGAAGUC